This is a non-coding RNA of Rattus norvegicus (Norway rat), 962 nucleotides long. The record is from RefSeq and is a predicted model, not a curated record. Lineage: Eukaryota; Metazoa; Chordata; Mammalia; Rodentia; Muridae.
GUCCCGCCUCCGGGUCCUCUGUUCUCGCCUCUAGGAAGUUCGGUCCCAGCAGCACGCACCACUUCGUUCCACUUCAGGGGAAGGCAUAGUGACAGGGACUCAAACGGGCAGUCGCCAGUCUGUGUGCGCCCUCGAGGAAUCCUUCAUGGAAGUCUUAAGUUGUUCCCUUGCUCGCACACACUGGGAUCAGUUUGCCUAGCGCGAUGGCAGAGCGGUAAAAAUAUUCAUCUUGCCCGGCUACAAAUACCACCUUGUCCAGAAAUGCUUCCGUCUGUGAUAUAGUGUGCCCACUCAAAGGACAGCGGGACUUUCUAAAUCUGGAACUCUACAACUGCCUUCUGGGAGCCAAAGACUGUAGUACAAGCUUGGGUGACAUUUGGUAGACUUAGGAGGGAGUCCACGGGAGACUCCACUAUGUACUAGGCACCUUGCCUGUGCAGUCUGCUCUCAGUCAACAUUCUGUAAGAGCCCCGUGGUGAAACAGGAGCCUAGAUUCGAGGACUAUGACCACGUCAAGACAAGACUUAUGCCGAGAAAAGACGUUCUGCCUCUCUGUUGGGGUACCGUUCCAGUCUUCUUUUCCUUUGAAAUGGGGUCGCACUGAAUCACCAGGUUGGCCUUGGGUUUGUAAUCCUCCUGCUGUAGCCUUCUGAGGAACUGAAAAUACAAACCUGCACCCACAGGACCAACCCAUGAGAUCUAAGUUACAGGUGAACAAGGACGGCCAGCCACCCUAAGUAGGACUUGGGACCUCUGGUGGUUUGAAUAGGAGUUGCCAUGGUCAGGGGCUGGAGAGAUUCCUCAGUGGUUAAGAGCACUGGGUUCAAUUCCCAGAACCCACAUGUCAGCUCACCACAGCCUGCAACUCUAUCUCCAGGAAUUCCGACACCUUCAGAAAGAUACAUGUGUAGGCAAAAUGUCAAUGCACAAAUAUAAAUAAAGGUUUAAAAAAAAGAAUUGGC